Molecule: ribosomal RNA, 539 nt
Filed under: Salmonella enterica subsp. enterica serovar Kentucky
Lineage: Bacteria; Pseudomonadati; Pseudomonadota; Gammaproteobacteria; Enterobacterales; Enterobacteriaceae
Description: partial 23S ribosomal RNA
Rfam family: Bacterial large subunit ribosomal RNA
Source: RNAcentral
CGUUGUUGGGUAGGGGAGCGUUCUGUAAGCCUGUGAAGGUGGCCUGUGAGGGUUGCUGGAGGUAUCAGAAGUGCGAAUGCUGACAUAAGUAACGAUAAAGCGGGUGAAAAGCCCGCUCGCCGGAAGACCAAGGGUUCCUGUCCAACGUUAAUCGGGGCAGGGUGAGUCGACCCCUAAGGCGAGGCCGAAAGGCGUAGUCGAUGGGAAACGGGUUAAUAUUCCCGUACUUGGUGUUACUGCGAAGGGGGGACGGAGAAGGCUAUGUUGGCCGGGCGACGGUUGUCCCGGUUUAAGCGUGUAGGUGUGUGUUCCAGGUAAAUCCGGUUCACUUUAACACUGAGGCGUGAUGACGAGGCACUACGGUGCUGAAGCAACAAAUGCCCUGCUUCCAGGAAAAGCCUCUAAGCAUCAGGUAACAUCAAAUCGUACCCCAAACCGACACAGGUGGUCAGGUAGAGAAUACCAAGGCGCUUGAGAGAACUCGGGUGAAGGAACUAGGCAAAAUGGUGCCGUAACUUCGGGAGAAGGCACGCUGACAC